ACCCCCUCAAUUUAUCUACUCCUUCUCCAUGGCCCUUUCUUUCUCCUAUUUAUGCCACAGCAUCAUCUCUCACUACUAACGAGCCAAGUUCUCUAAAAAUAUAAACCCAUUGUUCACAUUAGCUGAAACAAAAUCCUUGCCUCUCUUGCUCCCUUCCUCAGAUCUGAAGAAUGUGGCUAUUAAAUGGUAUAAACCCCAAGCAAGGCUUCUUAGGUGCUGAUAUAGGCACAAACGAUCAUAUGCUGGAAUGGGUGGACUAGGAAAGAAGGAGUAUCUAAUUCCAAUGCUCUGCACGAUGAUCUCGUGCGACUUGGAGCGCCUCUUGUUGACCGUAUCUCGCUCACACUGCCACGGCGAAACAUGCGCUAACAUGAGCAUGCAAUGACUAAAAUAAAAAAAGAGUACAAUCUUAUGAUACUCAGUAGGUGCAGGUAUCACAUGCUACAACUGGCGAAAGAGCUGGCCGCUGCAACGAACAGGCAACGAACUCCGACGGAACGUAACAAUGUCCUCAACUACUCACUUGUCAGAAUGAAUGCCUAUGUGGUGUGUGUGUCUUAUGUCUACGAGUUAAGUUAAUAAUAUUAGUAGCGUUAGUGUUCGAUAUGCAAUGCAUGCAUAUUGGUAGCAUCGUAUAAGAAUAGUUAAGUUUUCUGUGUUAUGCUGUAGGUGCAACCGCCGUAGCCAACAAUCAACUCACUCCGGCGGAACGUAACAAUGUUCUCAACUACGAGGAUUACUUGUUUGAAUGAAUGCUUAUGUGGCAAAAGACAAUGGGGUAGCAGUGGAGCAUGCAGAUGUUCAUGUGAAAGUAUACAGUAUCAAAGAUGGGGCUCCUGUUAAUCCCAAAGUGGGGGAGAAGAUUAUGAAUCAAAUUUUAACUCAAGAGGGCAGAUCACUACGAGGAGAGCGUGGUGAAGGAAUCCUAUAGUCGAAAAAUGAUGCGUUUGCUUAAGUGAUGGGUGCAGAAUGUUAUGGACGUGUACGUGAGGUGGGUUUUGGACCAACCCCAUCAGGAAGAAGUAGGUCCAACCCUUCAUGCUAUACCUUAACUCUACUGUCGUCAAGCGAAACGACCCAUCGGAUUACUGAAUUGGAAACUUCGCUUGCAUCUAUGAUGGACCAACUUUCCCAUUCAGAGGAGAGGCAUUCAGAGGAGAGGCAUCAAGAGAAUCUUGCCCAAGCACUAGCCCAAUCAGAUGCACGGCAUGAGGAGUAACUUGCCGAAGCACUAGCCCAAUUAGAUGCAAAGCAUUAGGAGCAACUCACCGAAGCACUAGCCCAAUCAAAUGCAAAGCAUCAAGAGCAACUCACUGAAGCACUAACCCAAUCAAAUGCAAAACAUCAAGAGCAAAUGAUAGAAAUGAUGUUGCACAUAAAAGAAAUGUUCGCCCAAUUUAGCUCACUUAUGCAUUCUUCACUGCCUUCUCAGACAGGUACAUUGAUGCUUUAACAACAUAGAAGAGUUUAAGAGGAUUAAAUAGUGAAGCCAUGCAUUGUUCUCAAGGCUUUUGGAGCUCACUGGAACCAUUAAGAGAGGCCAUGGUCAGCCUCAGUACCUUGACAAGUUGCAGUGCCAUAAUGGACAUACAUUGGGCCCACUUGUAGACAAGAGCUUGGAGAUGGGAAGGCACCCCUAGAAGCAUUUGGGAUAGCCAUAGGAAGGAUUACAUUGGAGCUAUCGAUUUUGUCCAUGUUCCCGUAUUCCUAUAAGCAACAUACAUAUAGAGGAAGGAAAGGAGAGCCAACAAUUAAUUGCAUGCAUGUUUGUGAUUUUGACAUGAAAUUCACAUUUGCUUGUGUUGGAUGGGAAGAGUCAACACACGAAUAUUUUUACACGAAUAUUUUUAAGUUGCCUCAAUAAUGAGAGUGAUAACUUCCCUAAAUCGCCAACUGGUUUGUAUUGUUAAUUUUAUUAACUAUUAGAAUAUUGUUGUGGUGAAAUUGCUAAUAUAAAAAUAUUUUCAUUUGUAGGAAAAUACUAUCUUGUUGAUUCAGGAUACCUUAUAAAAAAAAGGGUUUCUUACAUCAUUUAAGGGGGGAGAUAUACUAUUUUCCUGAUUUUCAAGAAAGUUCAAGACCAAAAAAUUCAAAGGAAAGAGAUUUAGUUAUUUCCAUUCAUCACUUCGUUCU
Molecule: long non-coding RNA, 2133 nt
Organism: Quercus robur (English oak)
Lineage: Eukaryota; Viridiplantae; Streptophyta; Magnoliopsida; Fagales; Fagaceae
Exons: 9
Source: RefSeq, a predicted model, not a curated record